GACGAGCGCUGGCGGCGUGCCUAACACAUGCAAGUCGAGCGAGAAUCUGAUUAUUGAUCCCUUCGGGGUGAUUUAAUCAGAGGAAAGCGGCGGACGGGUGAGUAACGCGUGAGUAACCUGCCUUCAGGAGGGGGACAACAUUCCGAAAGGGAUGCUAAUACCGCAUGACAUUGUUUAUCGCAUGAUAGAACAAUCAAAGAUUUUAUCGCCUGAAGAUGGACUCGCGUCUGAUUAGAUAGUUGGUGGGUAACGGCCUACCAAGUCGACGAUCAGUAGCCGGACUGAGAGGUUGAACGGCCACAUUGGGACUGAGACACGGCCCAGACUCCUACGGGAGGCAGCAGUGGGGAAUAUUGCACAAUGGGCGCAAGCCUGAUGCAGCAACGCCGCGUCGAGGGAAGACGGGUCUUCGGAUUGUAAACCUCUGUCCUUGGUGAAGAUAAAUGACGUAGCCUUGAGGAAGCCGACGGCUAACUACGUGACCG
RNAcentral lists this ribosomal RNA (485 nucleotides) under uncultured bacterium. RNAcentral's name for it is "bacterial SSU rRNA". It matches the Rfam family "Bacterial small subunit ribosomal RNA", at positions 28 to 511 of the family's 1533-position model. The record is from RNAcentral.